This 460-nucleotide ribosomal RNA is filed under the name uncultured bacterium. RNAcentral's name for it is "partial 16S ribosomal RNA". It matches the Rfam family "Bacterial small subunit ribosomal RNA", at positions 338 to 795 of the family's 1533-position model. The record is from RNAcentral.
CCUACGGGUGGCAGCAGUGAGGAAUAUUGGUCAAUGGGCGGAAGCCUGAACCAGCCAAGUAGCGUGCAGGAUGACGGCCCUACGGGUUGUAAACUGCUUUUAUACGGGAAUAACGCGCCUUACGUGUAGGGGUUUGCAUGUACCGUAUGAAUAAGGACCGGCUAAUUCCGUGCCAGCAGCCGCGGUAAUAAGGAAGGUCCGGACGUUUUCCGGAUUUAUUGGGUUUAAAGGGAGCGUAGGCCGCAUGUCAAGCGUGCUGUGAAAUGGUCGGGCUCAACCCGGGCCUUGCAGCGCGAACUGGCGUGCUUGAGUCCGCGGAAAGCAGGCGGAAUGCGUGGUGUAGCGGUGAAAUGCUUAGAUAUGACGAAGAACCCCGAUUGCGAAGGCAGCUUGCUGCAGCGGAACUGACGCUGAUGCUCGAAAGCGCGGGUAUCGAACAGGAUUAGAUACCCGUGUAGUC